AUUGAACGCUGGCGGCAGGCCUAACACAUGCAAGUCGAACGGUAACAGGAAGCAGCUUGCUGCUUCGCUGACGAGUGGCGGACGGGUGAGAAAUGUCUGGGAAGCUGCCUGAUGGAGUGGGAUAACUACUGGAAACGGUAGCUAAUACCGCAUAAUUUCUCAAGACCAAAGAGGGGGACCUUCGGGCCGCUUUCCUUCCGCUGUGCCCAGAUGGGAUUAGCUUGUUGGUGGGGUAACGGCUCACCAAGGCGACGAUCCCUAGCUGGUCUGAGAGGAUGACCAGCCACACUGGAACUGAGACACGGUCCAGACUCCUACGGGAGGCAGCAGUGGGGAAUAUUGCGCAAUGGGCGCAAGCCUGAUGCAGCCAUGCCGCGUGUAUGAAGAAGGCCUUCGGGUUGUAAAGUACUUUCAGCGGGGAGGAAGGGAGUAAAGUUAAUACCUUUGCUCAUUGACGUUACCCGCAGAAGAAGCACCGGCUAACUCCGUG
Molecule: ribosomal RNA, 490 nt
Filed under: uncultured bacterium
Lineage: Bacteria
Description: partial 16S ribosomal RNA
Rfam family: Bacterial small subunit ribosomal RNA
Source: RNAcentral